This 132-nucleotide small nucleolar RNA is filed under the name Castor canadensis (American beaver). RNAcentral's name for it is "Small nucleolar RNA SNORA51 (ENSCCNG00000013689.1)". It matches the Rfam family "Small nucleolar RNA SNORA51". Rfam says of the family: ACA51 is a member of the H/ACA class of snoRNA that guide the sites of modification of uridines to pseudouridines. Lineage: Eukaryota; Metazoa; Chordata; Mammalia; Rodentia; Castoridae. The record is from Rfam by way of RNAcentral.
GGCCUCCUGAUGCUUACCACAGGCUGUGUUCUUACACUCACUGUAUAGAAAAAGGAGGCAAAGUAAACCUAUCCCAUAUACACCUCAGUCCAGUCCGUAAGCCUGAUCUGUAUUGUGAAUGGGAAGACAUGG